This is a long non-coding RNA of Leopardus geoffroyi (Geoffroy's cat), 3843 nucleotides long. RefSeq lists it as uncharacterized. The record is from RefSeq and is a predicted model, not a curated record. Lineage: Eukaryota; Metazoa; Chordata; Mammalia; Carnivora; Felidae. The transcript has 7 exons.
AUGUGAAGCUCUCCUGAUUGAUAGGCUCAGCUAUCGUAUUUAGUGAGGCAUAUGGAAGUAUCUAGAUUAGUGGUGAUGUGGGCCUAAACCACAGCACAGAUCAUGUGAUCCUAAUAUGUAGAUGCUCGUCAAGAAAACCCAGUGAACCUCACAGUAUUCACUGAUGGAAGCUUGCUCUUGACCUGGUAUCCCGUUAAGGUCUUUGCUACUAAACGGUACAAGAUGAUGUGACGUUUUCUUAUUAGAGACAUUCUCAUUUUCAGGUUCCCAUCAAGAGCUCAUGGUGAACUUCCUAAUGGUCUUUACCAGCGACCUCCUUGUCUUGCAGUAAGUGGUGAUGUGCCUUAAGCAUCCCCACCGACCUUCUGUCUUGAGAUGUCUAGGUAAGUGACGAUAAUAUCACUAACACUUGUGUGACCACGGUUUUGUUUGGUUUUUGUGUGUGUGUGUGUGUAAAAAUAGUACCUCAGACAAGGCUAGUAAGCAUUAUUAGCUCUCACAGGCUUAAGAGUUUAGGGGCACCUAGCCCAUCCGUGGAGCAUGUGACUCUUGAUCAUGGGUUGUGAGUUCAAGCCCCACCGUGGGCCUAGAGCUUACUUAAAAAUAAAUAAAUACGUAAGAGCUUAUGUUUAAUGUGUGUUGAAUAUAAAUAGUGACCGAGAUCUAUGCAGGUAAGUUAUCCAGGCUUCAUACCCCAGUAUUGACCAUAAGAUUUUUCCAGGUGGUCAGUCAAGAGGUAAUGGUGUCUCUAAUAUCCAUGUAGACCAUGAAGUUCUGCCAGGAUCCAGGUAAUGUUGAUGGUUCCCCCAAUGAGGAAAUUGACCAAAAUUCUUUACAGGCCCCCUGGCAGAACACGUUGUUGCCUUACCCACAUUUUUGACACCUCUUUUUUCAGGUUCCUGUCAAGAAAUCACUGUGAACGUAAUAACGGUCAUGAACAAAAUCUUGUUAGUAACCAGUGAAGGGAUAAAGAGUGUUACUUACCGUUAAGACCAUCUAAUCUUCACAUUAUCGAAGCAAGUGAGGAUGAGGUCUCUAACAUUUGUGUUCUCAUCUUUUUGCAGAUAAGCCAUCAAGGUUUUGCUAGUAAACAGGUAUGAGAUGAUGUGAGAUUGACGUAGACAUUAUUUUCAGAGCCCUUUGUGACUAAUGAUAUUGUUCAGGCUCUUACAGUAACCUAGUGUUAGGCACGUAUGCAGUUAAGAAAUUAAGUUGUCCCUGACAAUCAUAAUAUGCCUGAGAAUUUCUUAUUGUUUAGGGAUAAUAUGUUUUGGACUGAUAGUGGGACUUUCAGACAUCCAGAUAAUUCAUCAUAAUGUCCAUCGCUGUGUUACUUACCGUGGGAUUAUUGCGGAUAAUCCUUCAAGAGAGGAAGGUGGCGCUUACUAGGGGCUGACCUCAGAGUUUUGCAAGUUUUCAGGUAUUACUGAUGGGUCCUGAAAUAUGAUACAAAUGACCAAGGGAAUUGGCCGUUGUCCAUCAGGAUAAACUUGUACCAAACACGUUUUUCGCAGUGUGUUUGUCAGGUUCCUGUCGAGCAUCACGACGAACCUAGCGAUGGUCAGUAAUGGGGAACUUUCUGCAAGCAGGCAGAUAAGAGUAUGUGGGCCUAAACCUCAGGCCAUCUGGUCUCCAGAUAGCUAGGUAAGUGAUGACGUUUAUAACGUUUCUCAAUCCCGUUAUGUUCCUGCAGGUGUUGAGGUAAGAGACGAUGUAGCCCUUACCAAUAAUAAAAACCAUGAGUUCUCACCUUUAGAUUUAGAGAAAAUCUAUAGCCCUGUUUGUGUCGAAGGAUGGUUCUUGUACAGGUGAUUGUCAUGGAGUUCACACCCCAGUAGGACCCACAGAAUGUGGCAGAUGUCCAGCUGAUGUGCUCCAUAGUAAUGGGAGUGAAAAGGUUAUGUGCAGGUGUUCUAGUAGCGUAAUUUGCAUUUCAAACCCAUUGUUGCUUGUGCUUUUACAGGUUCUUGUCAAGAGAACACAGUGAACCUUCCACCAGUUUGGAACGCAUCCUUACUAAUAACCAGGUAAGUCAUACAGUGGGUCUUACUACACUGCAGACCAAUAUAAUCCCCAAUAUCUAGGUAAGUGAGGGUGGUGUCCCUAACACUGUGUUACUGUGUUCAUUUGCAGAUACCCUUUUAAGGUCUUUGCUUGCCCACAGGUAUGCAAUGAUGUGACAUUAACUCAAUAGAGACGUUCUUAUUUUUAGAUACCUGCAUAUUAAUGUGUUUCAGGUUCUAGUAUUCACAUUGUUUUUGGCAUGUAUUCUGUUAAGAAAUCAGUGUAUUGCUAAAAUACUAGUAAGAAUGAGAGUUUUAUCCUUGUUCAGGGAUAUUGUAUUUUUUAAAACGGGUAGCGAUAGAAGGAUAUGCAGGUAUUCGGGUAAUUGAGAAUAUCGUCCGUCACAGUAUUAUUGACCGUGGCUUUUUUGUAGGUAUCCCUGCGGAGAGGAACCAGUCUCUUCCUAGCUUUGAGCUUGGAGUUCUGCAAGUACGCCGAUUCACUUCAGGACAUUACGGUGAGUCUGUCAGUAGUAGUUCAUGUGAGACCCUGGUGGUAUGAACAUAAGUGAUGAUGUGGGCCCCAGCACAGACCAUCUGAUUUGCAUAUGCAUGGGCAAGUGAUUAAGUGUUCUAACACUUCUUGUUACCGUGGGUUUUUUUUUUUUUUUUGGCAAGUAUUCGGGGAAAAAAAAUGAUGGUUUUACCAACUGUAGAAAACACAAGUUUUCACUUUUAUAUUUCAGGAAGGUUUAUGUUGAACACUGUGAGGCGUUACAUACAUACAAGUAUUUAUCUUGUGUUCCCUCCGUAGUACUAUUUAUAUGAUAAUUUAGAAGCGUCCGAACACUGACAGUUUUCUGACGUUGUUGCUAACUUUUAAUUACAAGUACUCAGAGUUGGUUUGUUCCGUAAUGAUGAAGUGAACAAUCUUUUUUGCAGGUGUCAUGGUAGAAAAAGUUGUUUCCAUUAACUCUGAUUUCGUAACGUGUUUUCCAGAUCCUUGUCAAGACCUCAGGAUGAACUUAGCAGCAGUCAUUAAUAGGGGCGGAUAUCCUGUUGAUACGCAGGUAAGGCCACCCGAUCUCCAGAUACCUAGGUAAGGGAUAACAGUGUCUCUAAGAGUUGUUACCAUGAUUUCUUUGCAAGUAUUCGGGUAGGAAUUGAUAGUCCUUUCUAAUUCUAGAACGUGUGAGUUGUUAGCGCUUGUAUUUUAGAAAAGAUGUCUGUUUAGCCCUGUGAGUGUUAAGGGAUCCCUUUGAGUGUUAAGGGAUAUUUAUCAUGAUGCUUCCGACCAUAGCAAUGACCGUGGAAAUUUUGCAGGUGUCCUGUAAGGAAAUAUUGUCUUCCCUGACAACAAUGGUCUUGAUCUUGGAGUACUGCAAGCAUGCAGGUAGAGUUGACAUUCUCAUAAUAGCGACAGUGACCAAGGUGCCUUAGAGGUGUUCUGCUUACAGCAGGUCACAUCCCUUUACACGUAUGUCAUAAUGUAUUUGUCAGGUUCCUUCAAGAUCCUGAAGCACUUAACAGUGGUCGGUAAUGGGGGACAUUUCUUGUGUCCAGGUUCCGGUCAAGAAAUCAUGGUAUGCCUCAUAAUGACCAUUAACAGAACUUUGCUUGCAGCCAGGUUCAGGUUAAGACAUCAUGGGGAGUAUAUCCAUCGUGGUAAAUGAGGCACAUAGCAGGUAUGGAGGUAAGUGAUGAUGUGGGCCUGAAUCACAGCACAGAUCAUCUGAUUCUAUAUGCAGGUAAGGUAUUAUAGCCCUAACACUUCUUGUUACUAUGAUUUUGUUACAGGUGUUCAGGUAAGAGAUAGUCCUUACCAAAUCUAGUGACCUUG